This 339-nucleotide ribosomal RNA is filed under the name Triticum aestivum (bread wheat). RNAcentral's name for it is "partial small subunit ribosomal RNA". Lineage: Eukaryota; Viridiplantae; Streptophyta; Magnoliopsida; Poales; Poaceae. The record is from RNAcentral.
AUGUCCUAUAUACAGAUUCAUAGUGUAACACAUCAAUGGAAGUUUGUUCUGAAAAUUGAAAUUGUUCUGGAUGUACUAAUAGAUGAGUUGUUAAGUAUUGGAGUGUUUCCUUCUUGUUUUGGACAAAUGGAAAUCUACAAGACAAAUGUACUGUUAGAUUCAGAGCGAACCAGUACACCAAACAGAAAAAAGCAAAAGAAAAAAACUCACUCCAGGCCACUCCACCAAAUCCGAAGUGGGUCAAUCCCCGACGCAAUGCCCGCCACCACCCACGCCCGUCUUCGUGCUCCUCCUUGCUGUUCAAAUUCUUGUUUUGGUUAUGUCCAAAGAAAAUCGUAA